AUUGAACGCUGGCGGCAUGCCUUACACAUGCAAGUCGAACGGCAGCACGGGAGCAAUCCUGGUGGCGAGUGGCGAACGGAUGAGUAAAGUAUCGGAACGUGCCCAGUCGUGGGGGAUAACGUAGCGAAAGUUACGCUAAUACCGCAUACGAUCUAUGGAUGAAAGCGGGGGAUCGCAAGACCUCGCGCGAUUGGAGCGGCCGAUAACAGAUUAGGUAGUUGGUGGGGUAAAGGCUCACCAAGCCGACGAUCUGUAGCUGGUCUGAGAGGACGACCAGCCACACUGGGACUGAGACACGGCCCAGACUCCUACGGGAGGCAGCAGUGGGGAAUUUUGGACAAUGGGCGAAAGCCUGAUCCAGCCAUGCCGCGUGCAGGAUGAAGGCCUUCGGGUUGUAAACUGCUUUUGUACGGAACGAAAAGGUUUGGCCUAAUAAGCUGAGCUCAUGACGGUACCGUAAGAAUAAGCACCGGCUAACUACGUGCCAGCCGCCGCAGUAA
RNAcentral lists this ribosomal RNA (500 nucleotides) under uncultured bacterium. Its description in RNAcentral is "partial 16S ribosomal RNA". It matches the Rfam family "Bacterial small subunit ribosomal RNA", at positions 30 to 523 of the family's 1533-position model. The record is from RNAcentral.